GUAGGUGAACCUGCGGAAGGAUCAUUAAUGAAUAAACUUGGUGGGUUGUAGCUGGCUCCUUGGAGCAUGUGCACACUCAUCAUCUUUAUCUAUCCACCUGUGCACACUCUGUAGUCUUGAGGGAAAUGAAAAAGCAGGCUGAAUGGUUUGUGAUUAUCAUUCUCUUGAGUCUAUGUGUCUUCAUAUACUACUUAGCCUGUCGCAGAAUGUAUUUAAUGGGCCUCUGUGCCUAUAAAAAAGUUAUACAACU
Molecule: unclassified non-coding RNA, 250 nt
Filed under: plant metagenome
Description: partial contains small subunit ribosomal RNA, internal transcribed spacer 1, and 5.8S ribosomal RNA
Source: RNAcentral